CCUAGUGACAUUGGGACAGUGGGAGACAUGGGGAAACAGACACUAAGGGACACAGCCAGUGUCCCAGGUGUCUGUGUCCCCAUGUCUCUUAGUGUUCCCAUGUCUCUCAGUGUUCCUAUGUCUCCCAGUGUCCCUAGUGUCUGUGUCCCCAUGUCUCCCAGUUCCCCCAUGUCCACAUGUCU
Non-coding RNA from Pelobates cultripes (western spadefoot toad), 182 nucleotides. Lineage: Eukaryota; Metazoa; Chordata; Amphibia; Anura; Pelobatidae. The record is from the annotation of a GenBank genome assembly.